AGCGAACGCUGGCCGCAGGCCUAACACAUGCAAGUCGAACGAACCUUUCGGGGUUAGUGGCGGACGGGUGAGUAACACGUGGGAACGUGCCUUUAGGUUCGGAAUAACUCAGGGAAACUUGUGCUAAUACCGAAUGUGCCCUUCGGGGGAAAGAUUUAUCGCCUUUAGAGCGGCCCGCGUCUGAUUAGCUAGUUGGUUGAGGUAAUGGCUCACCAAGGCGACGAUCAGUAGCUGGUCUGAGAGGAUGAUCAGCCACAUUGGGACUGAGACACGGCCCAAACUCCUACGGGAGGCAGCAGUGGGGAAUCUUGCGCAAUGGGCGAAAGCCUGACGCAGCCAUGCCGCGUGAAUGAUGAAGGUCUUAGGAUUGUAAAAUUCUUUCACCGGGGACGAUAAUGACGGUACCCGGAGAAGAAGCCCCGGCUAACUUCGUG
Molecule: ribosomal RNA, 434 nt
Filed under: uncultured bacterium
Lineage: Bacteria
Description: partial 16S ribosomal RNA
Rfam family: Bacterial small subunit ribosomal RNA
Source: RNAcentral